Molecule: non-coding RNA, 21 nt
Filed under: Caenorhabditis elegans
Lineage: Eukaryota; Metazoa; Nematoda; Chromadorea; Rhabditida; Rhabditidae
Source: RNAcentral
UAUAGAAUGUCAAACAAAAAU